UUAUUCAGUGCAUCGUUCUUUAAGAUCACACUACGUGUCGAUGCUUCAGAACAAAAGCCCAAAAUCUUUUGUCCGGUCAGUCAGUGGAGAGGGUCCCACCUUUCUGAAUCCCCACUUUUUUGUCAUGAGCUCACCCUGUCCAGGGUUAAGAGCUAUGAGGUCUUAUCCUCAUUACCCUUUUGAUCUGCUCACCCUGACGUUCAGUGUCAGUGGUUAAGAGCCCAUUUGAUUACCUUCCCAUGGCUUGUUUGUCGAGGUUGAUAUGACCCCUCUUGACUAAAGCCCUACCCAUGUAUGUUUAAGCCCCCUUGUUGGCGUGUUUACUUUAUGCAUGUUUGUUUUGUAUGGUGUGAUCGUCUCCCCAUAGGAUUGCUAGGCUUCGUAUAGUCUC
This 391-nucleotide long non-coding RNA is filed under the name Lathyrus oleraceus (garden pea). Its description in RNAcentral is "Pisum sativum (pea) long non-coding RNA (PSAT_LNC012458)". Lineage: Eukaryota; Viridiplantae; Streptophyta; Magnoliopsida; Fabales; Fabaceae. The record is from RNAcentral.